RNAcentral lists this long non-coding RNA (454 nucleotides) under Homo sapiens (human). RNAcentral describes it as "long non-coding RNA NONHSAT204509.1". Lineage: Eukaryota; Metazoa; Chordata; Mammalia; Primates; Hominidae. The record is from RNAcentral.
CUCUUAGAAGAAAGGAAGCAUUGAGAGUAAGGAACAAAUGCCAAUGAUGACAACCCAAACACUAUGUAUUGUAAAUGAAGUGGACUUCGUGGUUUCUUUAUCCACCAAUAAAUUAAAAGAAAACUUACAGGAAAUGGACACAGCCCUGGAUAAAUGCAACUACUAAGAUUCAACCAAGAAGUAAAAAUCCUGAACACACCAAUACAACUAAUGGAUUUAAUCAGUAAUAAAAAGUCUCUCACCAAGAAACAGCCCAGGACUAAAUAGUUUCACUGCUGAAUUCUACUUAACUCUUAAAGAAGAAUUAAUAUUACCUCUUCUAAAACUAUUCCAAAACACUGAAGCAGAGAGAAUUCUUUCUAACUCAUUCUGUGAGGUCAACAUAACCAUGAUUCCAAAACUAGAUAAAAACACCACCAAAAAAGGAAAACUACAGGCCAACAUCCUUGUGUGU